Phyllopteryx taeniolatus (common seadragon) is the source of this 4493-nucleotide RNA transcript. It is a transcript of the gene named solute carrier family 23 member 1, with no coding region annotated. NCBI's taxonomy places the organism in Eukaryota, Metazoa, Chordata, Actinopteri, Syngnathiformes, Syngnathidae. The record is from RefSeq and is a predicted model, not a curated record. The transcript has 15 exons.
UAUGCUCCAUCACAUUUUAACUAUUGGAUGUGUGCCAAUUUUAUUGUUUUAUGUUUAUUUAAUUGUCCAUUUCUUCCUUUGUUUUAUUGACCUUUAUACUUAUUACUUCCAUUUUUAUUAUUUUAUGCUGCUUAUAAUUAAGAGUAUUUUGUCCAAGUCGACUCUCAUGACAUGAGACUCACCUUGUCAUCAAGCCAUUGAUCGUGCCUGGAUGGGCAAAAAGAAGAGCGGUCUUUUUUCCACGCUUGACUUGUUCGGACUGAUUUCCAACGUGUGGCAUUAUGGGGUUCUUCUAGUGGUACGCGAAAAAAAUCUCUGCCUAAGUACAAUUCAGGUGUGUUUACUUUUUUGUUUGCUUGUUAUUUCACACAUUUGUAUUAAUCUAUAAGAACUAUUUAUUUUUAAACAUUUGUUAAUUAAAUUUUUCAUUUACCUUUUGUGUAUAGUUGUGUAUAUUUUAGCUCACUGGGAAUGUUCAAACUACGCAUAAUGUUACAGUGGCUUACAAUAAUAUGAAAUAUACUCUUUAGGAAUAAAACCUGUGUCGUGUUAGAUGAACACAUACAAAGCGAGUGUGUUUUGAUGUUGGUCAUUGGAGAGCUACAGUAAGUGUUUUUUUAGGUGGUAGUUGGUGUAAAAGGUUUAAGAACCACUGCGCUAGGGCAUUGAGUGGAUCAAGAUUAGGAAGAGAAAGGUAAGGCACAGGGGAAACCAGCAGACCUCCGAUAGGGCGUUAACGUGAAUAGAGUGAAUGUGACACAUGAUAAUGUCAGAUGUUUGUUAUGUCAGAUGGUGGAGACCCCACUGAGUGUAGACUGUCAUGAGUCCUUUUUUUACUACGGCACUCAUCUCUAAUGUGGCCGCUUCUGUUUACAAAGCUGGAUAAUUGACCAAGACCAGACCUAGUCAUUCAUUUAUUGAUACAGCCAACCAUUUUCCAUCUAACAAUCUAUUCAUCAAGUUAUUAAUCCAUCGUCAUCCAUGUAUCAAACCAUGCAUCCAACACCAAAACAUUCAUUCAGCCAUCCAUCUACAAAUUGUAAUAAUCCAUGGACCAAUCCAUCCAUCCAUUCAUUUAUCCACACAACCAUUUUUCCGUCCAACGAUCAUUCCAUCAUCCAUCCAUUUAGCUAGCCGAUCCAUCAACCAUCCACUCAAUUGUUCAUUCAUUCAACCAUUCAUUCAUACCUUCAGCCCACAUUCUAUCCAUCCAUGCAUCCAUCCAUCCAGCUACCAACCAUCCAUUCAUCCAACAAGCAUUCAUCCAUCAUUGAACCAGUUCUCCAUCCAGAAAGCCAAUCAUCGAUUCAUUCGUUCAUCCAUCCAUGCAGCCAUCCCACAUUACAUCCAUCCAUCCAUGAAUCAUCCAUCCAUCCAUAUAGGACAGUUUACAUCCAUAGGUCAGUGAACAAUUUCAACCUUACCUAACACAUGACCUGUUCAGUUGAUAAAGGUUUUAAAAUGGAAUGAUUUAUGGUAAAUACAUUCAUCGCAAUGGUAAAUUUAGUUAUUUAGUUAGUUAGUUGACUGAAUGGAACAGCUGGUGGUGGACCUGUCCAAACUGCAUUUGGGGUCUUUACAGUCAGAUUCUUUAUGAUGAUCUCCACAUGAAGUGCACCAGAAUGCUUGGGACGUGAACUGAUGGCGGGUAAAGGGGCGACUCAACCUUUUCCGUGCCGCUGAUAACGAGGGUGACCAAUGAAGCGGCACAUGUGACGGACGCGCUCUCACAGGACCAGUCCUGGUCACGCAUCACAUGACCAUACAGUACAGUCAAGGGGGCGGGAGAUCCCAGAAUCCCUUUCUUGUGACUUGACUGUGAGCUUCAGUUGCCGUGGUGACCCAUUGUCUUAGUACCACUACUUUUUUCCCCCCACUACUCCUGGGGCAUUGUUUAUCGUUUGCCCGCCUGCAGCAUGCACCUCACCGUCAAGGAGGAGCGCCUGGAACUGGGCCUGAAAGAUCUGGGAGCCGACAACGAGGCUUUUGGGGGCAAAAAGGCCGACGAGCAGCCAGCGGUGGACGUGGAGGCCCGGCAGCAGACCGCUGACUCGGGCGCCGACUUGAUCUACGUGCUCAACGACCGGCCGCCCUGGUACCUCUGCAUCCUGCUCGGAUUCCAGCAUUACGUCCUGGCGUUUGGUGGCAUCAUUGCCAUUCCGCUCAUCCUGGCUGAGCCGCUCUGCAUCGGUGACAACAACGCGGCCAAAAGCCAGCUCAUCUGCACCAUCUUCUUUGUGUCCGGCCUCAGCACGCUGCUUCAGACGGGUAUUGGCAUCAGGCUGCCAAUCCUCCAGGGCGGCACCUUUAGCUUCAUCACUCCCACUCUCGCCAUCCUGGCACUACCCAAGUGGCAGUGUCCGCCCCUGCAAGGGCCCGCCAUGUUGUCUGGGCACAACGGCACCAGCCCAUUGCAGAUGAUGGAAAGCGGCGACGAGGUGUGGAUGUCACGAAUGCGCGAGAUCCAGGGAGCCAUCUUGGUGUCGUCGCUGGUCCAGAUCAUGCUGGGCUUGACUGGCCUGGUGGGCUUCGUGCUCCGAUACAUCGGACCACUGGCCAUCGCGCCGACAAUCAACCUCAUCGGCCUCUCACUGUUCGCAGAGGCCGGCAAGAAGUCGGGCGGUCACUGGGGGAUCGCUGCUCUCACUGUGUGCCUCAUCCUGCUGUUCUCGCAGUACCUGAGCAGAGUGGACGUGCCGCUGAUUGCCUACAAGGACAAGAAGUGGACAGUGUUCCACUACCCUCUCUUCAAGCUCUUCUCGGCCUUGUUCGGAAUGUGCGGCGGCUGGCUGGUCUGUUUCCUUUUGACCGUUUUCGACGUGCUGCCAUCCAAGUCGGACAAGUACGGCUUCUCGGCGAGGACCGACAUCAACUUGGACGCCGUCGCCAACUCGCCCUGGUUCAACAUUCCCUAUCCAGGUCAGUGGGGCUUGCCCACCGUCAGCAUGUCGUCGGUGUUGGGCAUGAUGGCGGGAGUGUUGGCCUCUACCAUGGAGUCCAUCGGCGACUACUAUGCCUGUGCCCGUUUAUCGGGCGCGCCGCCGCCACCGACUCACGCCAUCAACCGCGGCAUCGCCGUGGAGGGCAUCGGCUGCAUCUUGGCUGGCCUGUGGGGGACGGGCAAUGGGACCACCUCCUACAGUCAGAACAUCGCCGCGCUCGGUCUCACCAAGGUUGGUAGCAGACUGGUACUGCAGACAACUGGAAUUCUUAUGAUUGUCCUGGGAAUCUUCGGGAAGUUUGGCGCUAUCUUUAUUACCAUUCCGGAUCCAGUUAUCGGAGGCAUGUUUCUGAUUAUGUUUGGAAUGAUCGCCGCUGUGGGAAUAUCGAACCUACAGUAUGUGGACCUCAACUCGUCUCGUAACCUGCUCAUCCUCGGCUUCUCCACGUUCAACGGUCUUGUGUUGCCAACGUGGUUUCACUCCAACCCAGGCAUCAUCGACACAGGGCCGGAACACAAGGGUAUGAAGGAGUAUGUGGAAGAAUCACUGGCAGCCGGGUUCAUUCGCCCAUCUUCAUCUCCUGUGGGAGCAGGAUUUUUCUUUGUGGACAAAAAGGACAAGACCCUGCGACCCUGUAUCGAUUACCGGGGUCUCGACGAGAUAACUGUGAAAAACAGCCCCAGAAUCCAAAGUUCCAGCUGCAUUAACCUUGGUGAGACGCUGCAGGAGGGACCUGGGAGCGAGCCCGCCAGAUGCUGCUACGCCAAGGCCGGUCCUACAAAACCGCAGCUGACCGUAGGGGGUCACCGGCUACUACAAAGUGUGUCAGCGAGUUUGGCUCUCCACCAAGCAUAUUCCACUCCGGGUGGAGUCCAGGAAGCUCGCUCCCAGAUAUGCCCAGCGCUUCUUAAAACGCAUAUCAGAGCAUCCGACACGGAUGCUCUGAUAUGCAUCAGACACGGCAUCUGACACCGUGUUGACCUUUGGAGAGAGAGGCAUUGCCAACAUGGACGGGGAGACGCUUCAGCGUGACGACUCCGAGAUUUGGAGCCAAAGUGCGACGCCACUGCCGGAGAUGAAAGGGGCGCUGACAUAAGAAGUUGAUCCUGGUAUCUUCUGAGGAAAGUGCUAAUCCGCGGUGGGACCGGUCUGCCGGUCUCGGGACUAGGCCGCUUAGCUUCCCCAAUCCUCUUGGCGCUGCCGGCCCCGCGUGUCAUCGGCUGUAAUCUGCCCGGCUGAGAUAAACAACGCUCGCCGCAGGAGGGCCCCGCGGCUCGCUCCCUUGCUCGACUGUCGCUCGCCCGCCCGCCAGACGACUUGAGACGAGGUCAUGAACUUUUGACCUGCGUGCUGGACCUGAAGCAACGCUUCCGCAUAGUCACUGCUACACUUGCACAGUUGACCGCACUGGAGUCAAAGAGCUAGACCAGAUCAUUGUGGUGCUCUUCACCACGCACAUGUUCAUCGGCGGCUUCUUCGGCUUCAUCCUGGACAACACCAUUCCAGGCAGCACUGAGGAGCGAGGCCUCCGCAAGUGGCAGCAGACAGCAA